Molecule: long non-coding RNA, 1295 nt
Filed under: Cavia porcellus (domestic guinea pig)
Lineage: Eukaryota; Metazoa; Chordata; Mammalia; Rodentia; Caviidae
Description: lncRNA (ENSCPOG00000035458.1)
Source: RNAcentral
GCUGCCCCCGCCCCCCCCCCAGCGGGCCGCGCCCUGGACGCCCGGAUCCGUGCACCUCCACAUCCCGCUCAGUCCCGCCCAUCCCCCAGCCUCGCCCUCGCAGCUGUUGCUGGGCUUGUGUGUGGAGUCGCCAUUUUGCCGGUAGAGAUGCCGUCUGGAGACCGGAGCGCUCCUCUUUCCUCGGCCUAGGCUGCUGCGGGGCCGGGGCUGGGUCCUGGGCCAGGUAGGCGGGCGUGAGCCGGCGGCGAGCAGCAGUGCGGCCUGGUGGCCCCGACGUUAGCGGCGCAUGUGUUAAAACCAGGCACAGCAUUAAUGCAUGGUAGUGACAACACAUGUCUAGCACAACCCCUCCUGAAGGCGGCUCCCCAUGGACUUGGCAAGCCUUCUGUUCUCAACAUGUGGUGCCAUCUUGGAGCGAUCACACUGAGGAAGAGCACAGAACAAGGGCAGGAGCAGGUGCUGGAUCCCACAGAGACUUUUUCUACCCUCCUUUUCCACUCCAAUCUUCUUUGGAACUUUGAAUGGAAUCACAGGAGGAGGCACUGCACGUGUAGCUGCCCAAAGUCUAGAUGUCACUGUUCUCUGCUGUCACCCAAAAGGAGUGAACAGCACCUGGACAGGAGAUGGCCCAAGGCUUACAUGUGUAUAACGUGCCACUGUCUCAGGGACUGACUCUCAGUGAACCCUGAUGUCUUGAUCCACUCAGCACACCACCAUUCAGUAUUGAAAACUGGGGUUGAGUGAGUCCCUUGUACAUGGCCAGGACCUGAAUCCGCAGGUGGUCAAGUCUCUCUGGGCUGCUAAGGUAAGAACUCACCUCAGCUUUGGUGCCUGUGGGGCUGAGAGUUCAGCCCUAGAAAAGUCCAGAGAGAAGUGGCUGGAGCUGGGGCAGCUGUCCAGGAAAGCUGGUUCCAGAGGCUUCCUCAGGCUGUGAGGCCCAUCUGCCUGCACCAGGCUUGCUAUACAGACCUCUGCCAGGUCCUCUGGUGACUGAGCUCCCAUCUGUGGUGAGAUAGUGGGGAGACAUGGAAUUGAUGUCCUGCACAUGGCAUCUCGGGGGUUUGGGGCUGAAGCAAAGCCCACACUCUAAAUGGUCCACAGGGCUUCAUGGUACAAGGCUCACAGGAGGACCCCAACAGAAAGGGGAAUUUCAUAUUGAAAGUUACAUUUCAUGAGGGACACUUAGGAAUACUAGCAUGCUCAGUUCACCUUGAUAGAGGAGAGGCUGAAUAGAACUCUAUGCGUGAACAAAACUAUGAGUAAUAAGAUGGUCCCCAUUUUAGAAAUGAGAAAAC